Molecule: ribosomal RNA, 377 nt
Filed under: uncultured bacterium
Lineage: Bacteria
Description: bacterial SSU rRNA
Rfam family: Bacterial small subunit ribosomal RNA
Source: RNAcentral
UAAUACGUAGGGGGCGAGCGUUGUCCGGAAUCAUUGGGCGUAAAGAGCACGUAGGCGGCCUGUCAAGUCGGAUGUGAAAGCCCGUGGCUUAACUGCGGAAAUGCAUUCGAAACUGGCAGGCUAGAGUCCAGUAGAGGAAAGUGGAAUUCCCAGUGUAGCGGUGAAAUGCGCAGAUAUUGGGAAGAACACCGGUGGCGAAGGCGGCUUUCUGGGCUGUGACUGACGCUGAGGUGCGAAAGCUAGGGGAGCAAACAGGAUUAGAUACCCUGGUAGUCCUAGCUGUAAACGAUGGGCACUAGGUGUGGGGAGUGUCAACUCUCUCCGUGCCGGAGCUAACGCAUUAAGUGCCCCGCCUGGGGAGUACGGUCGCAAGGCUA